Betta splendens (Siamese fighting fish) is the source of this 769-nucleotide non-coding RNA. The record is from the annotation of a RefSeq genome assembly. Lineage: Eukaryota; Metazoa; Chordata; Actinopteri; Anabantiformes; Osphronemidae.
CAGAGGGACACGUCAUCCAGUAGGAGCUGCACGACCUCUGCACUGUUCAACCACUGUGUCAGUCAUAACUGCUGCACUGAACAGAACAAUUCUCAGACUGAAUGUUGAACAUCAGCCUCUUUCUGCUCUUGACUUCAACCUUGUUGUAGAGAUGGAUCAUUGGCUGUGGAUUAUUCUGGCUGCUCUUUGCUACGAGUGUAAAGGAGAAGACAGAGUGAUCCAGACAACAGGAGACGCCACUGCUACUGAAGGAGACGCUCUUACGCUCAACUGUACAUUUGAGACAAGUAGUGGACUGCCGUAUUUGUUCUGGUACAAACAAGAAGUACACGAUUCUCCAAAGUACAUGUUGAGGCGUUUCUCAAAAUCAGUGGACAAUGCGCCAGAGUUUCCAAAAGAACGAUUUGAUGCUGCAAUUGAAGGUACAUCAGUUCCUCUGAAGAUCCAGAAGCUUCAAGUGUCUGACUCUGCUGUGUACUACUGUGCUCUGAGGCCCACAGUGACAGGAAACACCUCAACUCUGUACAAAAACCUCUGGAGCAAAGACAACACAAUGCUCCACAGCAUCCACCAGAGGGAGACACUGUCAUAAACUGAUAUUUCGGGAUGGAACUUUUUAGUUAUUUUUUCACUUAUGAGAAACAAACAAAAUUCCAUUUCCAACACUUUAAUUUCAAAUACUUGACCCUCAGUUUUUCUACAUCUCUAUCUUUCAAACUAAAUUUAAAACGACGGCAACAUGAGCAAACAAUAAAUAAAACAUUUUCUA